RNAcentral lists this ribosomal RNA (497 nucleotides) under uncultured bacterium. Its description in RNAcentral is "partial 16S ribosomal RNA". It matches the Rfam family "Bacterial small subunit ribosomal RNA", at positions 28 to 507 of the family's 1533-position model. The record is from RNAcentral.
GAUGAACGCUGGCGGCGUGCCUAAUACAUGCAAGUCGAGCGAACAGACGAGGAGCUUGCUCUUCUGACGUUAGCGGCGGACGGGUGAGUAACACGUGGAUAACCUACUUAUAAGACUGGGAUAACUUCGGGAAACCGGAGCUAAUACCGGAUAAUAUAUUGAACCGCAUGGUUCAAUAGUGAAAGACGGUUUUGCUGUCACUUAUAGAUGGAUCCGCGCCGCAUUAGCUAGUUGGUAAGGUAACGGCUUACCAAGGCAACGAUGCGUAGCCGACCUGAGAGGGUGAUCGGCCACACUGGAACUGAGACACGGUCCAGACUCCUACGGGAGGCAGCAGUAGGGAAUAUUGCGCAAUGGGCGAAAGCUUGACGGAGCAACGCCGCGUGAGUGAUGAAGGUCUUCGGAUCGUAAAACUCUGUUAUUAGGGAAGAAAAAAUGUGUGAGUAACUAUGCACGUCUUGACGGUACCUAAUCAGAAAGCCACGGCUAACUACGUG